RNAcentral lists this long non-coding RNA (831 nucleotides) under Salvia miltiorrhiza (redroot sage). Its description in RNAcentral is "long non-coding RNA (SMIL_LNC007503)". The record is from RNAcentral. Lineage: Eukaryota; Viridiplantae; Streptophyta; Magnoliopsida; Lamiales; Lamiaceae.
ACAUAGUCUACUUGUUUAAGGUGUAAAAGAUGAUAUUUUUUUUAAUCCAUUAACUCUACAUGCUUUACAUAUGAAUGCACCAAACAAGCACAAAACAUAAUCCAAACCUCACAUAUGAAGAUAACAGCCAGCCAACAACCACAAAACACAAUCCAAACCUCACAUAUGAAGGAAGAACCGGCCUACAACCACAACACACAAUCCAACAGGGUCAUAACCUUAAAUCAUUGAAAAUUUUCAAAUAAAAUGUAGGCAAAAAUAAUCAUUUCAGCAUAAUUUCAAUACCGACGACAUAGUACUAGCCCACGUACCCCAAAUCGUAACAAUAUAAUCGAGUGUAGGGCAUUCAAGUAUCUCAAAUAUAGUGUGAUAAAAAAAUUAUUAUUUUAAUUUAAUUCAACCUACCUACAAUAAAAAAACAAGUGUAAAAGGAAACUCCUCACAAAUUUGCAGAUUAGGGGUAGCAAGAUUCACAACAUGUAUCACUUGUAGAAGGCUUCGCUCAAACCACCUGCUCCUCAGUCUUGGGGACAUCCAUCCAGCCUUCAUAAGUGCUUGCCCAUAUCGAUUCGUCUACUAUGUCGUCGAGAGAUAUGUUGGACCAUGGUGGCAGUAAGUCGGCGACGAUGAGGUCGCUCAUAUCGUCAUCUAACCCCAAAGAAUCGAGGGUCGUCGAUGGAGGAUCGGAGCUUGUCUUCUUUUUCGUCGUUGCGGCGGACGACGGAUGAUGGAUUUGGGCAGGUUUGCACAGAGAAGGGGUUGCACCGACAGAGAAUUCGAGAGAGAAGUGUAAGAGGCGGUUGUAUUAGAGUGAAGCAAUAAAUUAAAAAU